RNAcentral lists this ribosomal RNA (408 nucleotides) under uncultured bacterium. Its description in RNAcentral is "partial 16S ribosomal RNA". It matches the Rfam family "Bacterial small subunit ribosomal RNA", at positions 28 to 526 of the family's 1533-position model. The record is from RNAcentral.
GACGAACGCUGGCGGCGUGCUUAACACAUGCAAGUCGAACGAAGUGGCGAACGGGUGAGUAACGCGUAAUCAACCUGCUCUUCAGAGGGGGACACCAGUUGGAAACGACUGCUAAUACCGCAUACUGAAGGAGGGGACUGCGUCGGCUUAGCUAGUUGGAGGGGUAACGGCCCACCAAGGCGAUGGUCAGGGGCCGGGCUGGAAGGGUGAACGGCCAAAUCGGGACUGGGGAACGGCCCAGACUCCUACGGGAGGGAGCAGGGGGGAAACUUGCGGAAAGGACGAAAGUCUGGCGAGGCAACGCCGGGUGAGUGAAGACGGCCUUUGGGUUGUAAAGCUCUGUUAGUCGGGACGCGGUACCGGAAUAGAAAGCCACGGCUAACUACGUGCCAGCCGCCGCGGUAAUUC